GCAAUUGAUUUGUCAAUUGGCUUUGUCAAAAACCAAAAUCACACGCGACAAUCCAUCAAAAUACAAAACAACCUUCGGUCUAGGGUUUGCAGAGGACUCAAAAGUAAUCAUAAUCUAACCGAUGGGAGGCCACGGCGCUGUAGAGGCGGCGAAGACGGUCAUUGAGGUGGCCGACGUGGCCUGGAAAGCCAUGGAUUUUACUCACCACCACCAACUCCACAAUCACAACCACGAAAAUCACGAAAGUGACACCAAGCGGGUGUCAAUAGACGAAGAAUUGGAGUCUUUAAGAUCCGAAAAUCAGCGCCUAAAGAACCAGCUUGAGCAGAAUUUGAAACUUCUCCAAAACUUAUCCGAAUCACCUUGCUUGUUAAAUGAUUGCCCCCCUGA
Molecule: unclassified non-coding RNA, 390 nt
Filed under: Hevea brasiliensis (rubber tree)
Lineage: Eukaryota; Viridiplantae; Streptophyta; Magnoliopsida; Malpighiales; Euphorbiaceae
Source: RNAcentral